AUGGGAAGGAAACAGAGGAAUUGCAGGGAUUUGGGGGCUGGGAGGGCCCAGGGCCCUGCUGGGCAGCAGCAAGGGGGGGACGGGGAAGGGGACGCGGUGUGGGUGGUGGCAGGGCAGAGAUGCCCAAGGGGCUGCCCGCUUCCAGCACGAGCCCGGUGGCAUGUGGCACUGUCCCCAGUGUCCCCAAUGUCGCCCUGGAUGCUGCUGCCAUCUGCUGGCAGGACCCAAUCCUGCUCCGGUCCUGGGUCCGGCUGCUGCACCAAGGCUGUGGGUGCCCUCUGUCACCCCGCUGUCCCGCAGGGUGGCGCAGCCCCGUGCCUGGCUCCAUGCCCAGCACCCCAGGGUGCCCCACGCCAUGACCCCAAGGAAGCCGGGCCCCAAAAUGCCUCCAUCGGGGCCAUCAUCCUGCUCCGCUCUGCUCCCAAACCCGCCGGGAACCGACCUCCCCCCGGCUCUCCGACGCCUCCGCGCCCACCUCGCCCCAGCCUCUCCAUCCCGUGCCCUUCGCAAGCAGAGGCAGAAGGGGCAAGGCCCAAAUCCUCCCCGCACGUGGGCUCGGCGAUGCAGGAUCGGCCCCUUUGGCUGGCUCUGCGGGGCGGUUUCUCCGGGCACCGUCCAGCCCUGCUCCCUUGGGGCUGCAGGGACGGGACUCUCGCCCCGCGGCUGAGCCCCAGCCCCGUCCCCUGGGUCUGGCUGGGCUGCGGUGACCACGGGGACUCGCCACAUCCCGUCCUCCUCGUGACAGCGAGCACACACACCCAGUUCCCACGGCCCCCCCCCCGGCCUUCCCAGCCUCUCCGCUUCCCCUGGGACCAUGCUGGGGAUAAUGGCCAAGGACCGGGGCACCACCGGGUGCGGGGACACCCAGGGACACCCCGCACAUCCCUCUCUGCUUCCCAUGGACACCGAGCACCGCGGCUCGUCCCUUCCCGGGGCAGAUGGCAGCGGCUUCCUGCUGGAAAAUGCCCAAGCCCGCUGGGAGGGACUGAGCCGCAGCUGUCCCCGGUUUAA
This 1011-nucleotide long non-coding RNA is filed under the name Anser cygnoides (Swan goose). Its description in RNAcentral is "lncRNA (ENSACDG00005011662.1)". The record is from RNAcentral. Lineage: Eukaryota; Metazoa; Chordata; Aves; Anseriformes; Anatidae.